GCCUGGGUGGCUCAGCAGUUGAGCAUCUGACUUCGGCUCAGGGACUGAUCCUGGAGUCCCAGGAUCGAGUCCUGGAUCAGGCU
RNAcentral lists this transfer RNA (83 nucleotides) under Canis lupus familiaris (dog). It matches the Rfam family "tRNA". From Rfam's summary of the family: Transfer RNA (tRNA) molecules are approximately 80 nucleotides in length. Lineage: Eukaryota; Metazoa; Chordata; Mammalia; Carnivora; Canidae. The record is from Rfam by way of RNAcentral. RNAcentral also lists the same sequence under 1 other name.